AAUUUAUGAUGAUAAAACAAACCAUUGUGUUAUGUGAUAGGCACGCGACUUCGUUUUGAUAGUUGUACUGCCUUUUCAUGAUUUCUUGAGGCAUUUGUCUGAUCUU
RNAcentral lists this small nucleolar RNA (106 nucleotides) under Bombyx mori (domestic silkworm). RNAcentral's name for it is "Bm_7". The record is from RNAcentral. Lineage: Eukaryota; Metazoa; Arthropoda; Insecta; Lepidoptera; Bombycidae.